GCAAGUCGAGCGCACCUUCGGGUGAGCGGCGGACGGGUUAGUAACGCGUGGGAACAUACCCUUUUCUACGGAAUAGCCUCGGGAAACUGAGAGUAAUACCGUAUAAGCCCUUCGGGGGAAAGAUUUAUCGGAGAGGGAUUAGCCCGCGUUGGAUUAGGUAGUUGGUGGGGUAAUGGCCUACCAAGCCGACGAUCCAUAGCUGGUUUGAGAGGAUGAUC
Molecule: ribosomal RNA, 218 nt
Filed under: uncultured bacterium
Lineage: Bacteria
Description: partial 16S ribosomal RNA
Rfam family: Bacterial small subunit ribosomal RNA
Source: RNAcentral